This 454-nucleotide ribosomal RNA is filed under the name Chaetodon kleinii (sunburst butterflyfish). Its description in RNAcentral is "partial small subunit ribosomal RNA". It matches the Rfam family "Bacterial small subunit ribosomal RNA", at positions 788 to 1446 of the family's 1533-position model. The record is from RNAcentral. Lineage: Eukaryota; Metazoa; Chordata; Actinopteri; Chaetodontiformes; Chaetodontidae.
CACUAUGCCCAGCCUUAAACAUUGACAGUUAAUUACACCCACUGUCCGCCCGGGUACUACGAGCGCUAGCUUAAAACCCAAAGGACUUGGCGGUGCUUUAGACCCACCUAGAGGAGCCUGUUCUAGAACCGAUAAUCCCCGUUAAACCUCACCCUUCCUUGUUCUUUCCCGCCUAUAUACCACCGUCGUCAGCUUACCCUGUGAAGGCCCUAUAGUAAGCACAAUCGGCAAUGCCCAAUACGUCAGGUCGAGGUGUAGCGAAUGGAAGGGGAAGAAAUGGGCUACAUUUACUAAUACAGUAAAUACGGAUGAUCACCCUGCAACGAGUAUCUGAAGGAGGAUUUAGCAGUAAGCAAAAAAUAGAGCGUUUUGCUGAAAUUGGCCCUGAAGCGUGCACACACCGCCCGUCACUCUCCCCGAACUAAGAUCUAAAACAUAACUAAUAUGCUAUAAC